This 593-nucleotide long non-coding RNA is filed under the name Sinocyclocheilus anshuiensis. RNAcentral describes it as "lncRNA (ENSSANG00000026547.1)". The record is from RNAcentral. Lineage: Eukaryota; Metazoa; Chordata; Actinopteri; Cypriniformes; Cyprinidae.
UUAUAUCCCAGUAACAUCUCAAAUAAAUUAGCCUACCUCAGUUUUCCACCUCAAUAAUUCGCUAGGACUUCCAGGAUCAUGUGAACAUACACGGUAAUGUAUUUCCUCGAAGUGACCGUCGGAGCAAAACUUUCACUAGUAUCAGCGUGUAGAGAAGUUCGUAAAGUGAUACGUUUGCUCGUUUGCGUUUAGAACGACCAAGUAGCAGAACAACAUUCCUUGAUGCCAUAUUAAUUGACGGAUUCCACCAAGAAUCCUGUUUGUGGUCAACAACUGAUUGCUGAUCCAAAACCACUCUGUAGCUGUCCUCUGGAAUAAAAACCCAGAAAAAGCGACGGAACUGAAAUCCCAGACAUCAUGACCAUGUUUCCUUCCGGAUGUCCACGAUCACAGUUGUCGGCCCUUUCAACAGAUCUUACGGACAAACUCCGCAAACCACACAGGCUCUUAAACAUGGCGUGACGCUGCUCUUUAAGUUACCACCCAGGAACCAACGCUGCCUGCAGCUCAACCUAGCUGAUGGAUCUGAGUGCGGUCGCCAACCUCCAAUCACCCCAGACACGAGCCCCAGGACCCCACACCACCCCACGGUA